CCCAGUCUCGCCAUCUCCUACUUCCCUAUUCUUAGAGUUGAUCCUCCAAAGAACAUAAACUUCCUCACACAAUGCUGCUGGAUCUGCUUCUGGAGAUCAUACCUUCGUCUUCUGAGAGUCUCACAAGUAGAGAGAGACCACGACCAUCCAGGGGCCAGGCCUUUUAAAACCCAGAAAAGUAGGCUGAGACUCAGACACAAAGGAGGAGAGGGAAAAAUAUUCAAGAGCUUUUGGGCUCUCAUCAAAUACCUCCCAUCUUUCUGAACUCUUUCAGCUUGGAUUAUUGACUUUCCAGAAAAGGCCUAGCUGAGGGAGUUAACGGCUCUCAUACGCACGGGGAAGAUUACCUUUUUCUGAUGGAUGCCAAAUGCGAGACAGUUGUGCUUCCGGAGCUCAGUCUGGGCAUCUGUUUCCUGAUGCACAAGCUUUCCAAGGAAGAAUGGGUCCUUCACGGAGGGCUCAGCUGAUAAGAAUCAGAAGUUAUUUUCCCUACGGGAAGGCACCAUUGCCGUGAGUCCAGGAUGAGCUCACAGCACAGUUGAGAGACUCCCCAUGGUUUAUGCAGCUUAACACGGAUUCUGGGAGCAGUAACGCUAGGCCCUGGGUGCAUCUGCUCAAGAACAAAUGCCAGUGGCCUCAGGCAAUGAGAUCAUCUCCAGAGCCAGCUGCAUUGACAAGAUGGUUUGUCACACAUUAUAGAUUCCUCAGAGCACAGAGACUGUGAGAGAAGAGAGUGCAGCCAUUCUAGCAGAGAGGGGGAGAUGGGGGAGGUUGUCGGAAGAGUGGAGCCCCCACACCAGGCACACAAGCAGCUUCCCUCCUCUCCGAUCUGUGACCUCUGAUGAGCCUCUUGGGUGUUUGCUUUCUUCUGGUCAGUCUUGUGUGCUGGGCUCCUUCCCGAAGAACACAGCUCAGCUGCAGACCUGGGAGGCGGUGGGGGAGUGUUCUAUCCAGAAUCGUCGGCAUCUUUAGCUGGUCAGGAACAGGGGUAUGUUCUCUGGUCUUUUUCUACAGCUGUGCCUUCCAAAGUGGAAAAUAAGCAGAAAAAAAUAAAUCUAUUUAAGCUAA
This is a long non-coding RNA of Mastomys coucha (southern multimammate mouse), 1068 nucleotides long. RefSeq lists it as uncharacterized. Lineage: Eukaryota; Metazoa; Chordata; Mammalia; Rodentia; Muridae. The record is from RefSeq and is a predicted model, not a curated record. The transcript has 4 exons.